Molecule: ribosomal RNA, 477 nt
Filed under: uncultured bacterium
Lineage: Bacteria
Description: partial 16S ribosomal RNA
Rfam family: Bacterial small subunit ribosomal RNA
Source: RNAcentral
GAUGAACGCUGGCGGCGUGCCUAACACAUGCAAGUCGAACGAAGCACCUUACCUGAUUCUUCGGAUGAAAGUUUGGUGACUGAGUGGCGGACGGGUGAGUAACGCGUGGGUAACCUGCCCUGUACAGGGGGAUAACAGCUGGAAACGGCUGCUAAUACCGCAUAAGCGCACGAGGAGACAUCUCCUUGUGUGAAAAACUCCGGUGGUACAGGAUGGGCCCGCGUCUGAUUAGCUGGUUGGCAGGGUAACGGCCUACCAAGGCAACGAUCAGUAGCCGGUCUGAGAGGAUGAACGGCCACAUUGGAACUGAGACACGGUCCAAACUCCUACGGGAGGCAGCAGUGGGGAAUAUUGCAAAAUGGGGGAAACCAUGAUGCAGCAACGCCGCGUGAGUGAAGAAGUAGUUCGGUAUGUAAAGCUCUAUCAGCAGGGAAGAUAAUGACGGUACCUGACGAAGAAGCACCGGCUAAAUACGUG